GACAGCAUGGCAUAGUGGCUUUUGUUUUUGACUAUGACUCUGGAGACCAGGGUCCGAUUCCCAGCUCAGUCA
Phrynosoma platyrhinos (Desert horned lizard) is the source of this 72-nucleotide non-coding RNA. The record is from the annotation of a GenBank genome assembly. NCBI's taxonomy places the organism in Eukaryota, Metazoa, Chordata, Lepidosauria, Squamata, Phrynosomatidae.